This 307-nucleotide ribosomal RNA is filed under the name Priestia flexa. RNAcentral's name for it is "bacterial SSU rRNA". It matches the Rfam family "Bacterial small subunit ribosomal RNA", at positions 555 to 861 of the family's 1533-position model. The record is from RNAcentral. Lineage: Bacteria; Bacillati; Bacillota; Bacilli; Caryophanales; Bacillaceae.
UGGGCGUAAGCGCGCGCAGGCGGUUUCUUAAGUCUGAUGUGAAAGCCCACGGCUCAACCGUGGAGGGUCAUUGGAAACUGGGGAACUUGAGUGCAGAAGAGAAAAGCGGAAUUCCACGUGUAGCGGUGAAAUGCGUAGAGAUGUGGAGGAACACCAGUGGCGAAGGCGGCUUUUUGGUCUGUAACUGACGCUGAGGCGCGAAAGCGUGGGGAGCAAACAGGAUUAUAUACCCUGGUAUUCCUCGCCGUAGACGAUGAGUGCUAAGUGUUAGAGGGUUUCCUCCCCCCCCUGUUGCGGCUAACGCAUU